AUCAAUUCUUGGCCUUUUGGCUAAGAUCAAGUGUAGCAUCUAUUAUUAUCAGUUUAAUAUCUGAUAUGUCCUCUAUUUGAAGACAAUAUAUUAAAUGGAUUUUUGGAGCAGAGAGAUGGAAUAGGAGCUUGCUCUGUCAACUCCACGCAUCGACCUGGUAUUGCUGUACUUCCAGGAACAGUGCACCCCCU
This 191-nucleotide small nuclear RNA is filed under the name Echinops telfairi (small Madagascar hedgehog). RNAcentral describes it as "U2 spliceosomal RNA (ENSETEG00000023406.1)". It matches the Rfam family "U2 spliceosomal RNA". Rfam says of the family: U2 is a small nuclear RNA (snRNA) component of the spliceosome (involved in pre-mRNA splicing). Complementary binding between U2 snRNA (in an area lying towards the 5' end but 3' to hairpin I) and the branchpoint sequence (BPS) of the intron results the bulging out of an unpaired adenosine, on the BPS, which initiates a nucleophilic attack at the intronic 5' splice site, thus starting the first of two transesterification reactions that mediate splicing. Lineage: Eukaryota; Metazoa; Chordata; Mammalia; Afrosoricida; Tenrecidae. The record is from RNAcentral.